Pseudoliparis swirei is the source of this 706-nucleotide long non-coding RNA. RefSeq lists it as uncharacterized. NCBI's taxonomy places the organism in Eukaryota, Metazoa, Chordata, Actinopteri, Perciformes, Liparidae. The transcript is spliced from 2 exons. The record is from RefSeq and is a predicted model, not a curated record.
UACGUACCGGAAGAGGAGGAGCCCUUUCGCCAGCUUUUCAUUUUAUUUCUAAAACAAUGGCGGACAGCACAAGCGGUAGACCACGAAGCUACAGACCGUAAAUAGACGUUUCCUGGAGGUGCUGGUCCUCUGCUGCCCUCCCGACAUCUGCAUCUGGCUCCAAUGACCUCUGGCACAAACCUCACAUCCACCUCCAGGGCCUUUAAGAAGAUGGACCGCCAUUGCGUCUUCAGUAUCCCGAAGGACCUCUCCACAACACAACACACCUGGCCUUUGACAGGCAGCAGUUGUAGCUUGGAGGUGGACAGGCUGCCUGAAGGGGGUCAUGAGGCAGAUGGGUUGGGACAGGCAGAGGUAGCCACCAUCCCCAAGGAUACAGUAUCCUGGUGGAGGGUAUGACUGCUCAUAGAAGAUGGGGCUGUUAUUCAGGACCCUGGCAUCAUGCACUGUCUGGGUAGCCCACACACACAUCUAUGAAUUUGCACUUAUAAUCACAGAUGGCCUGCAGCUGGAUGGAAUGAAAAAGCUUCCUGUUAAAAUAGCAGGCAGCAUCCGCCGCUGGGGGCUUCACUCUGACGUGGCAGCCAUCAAUAGCCCCCACCACUCUGCUGAAGGCUGCCGACCCAGCUAGACGGGCGAAGCGGGCAGGGGAAGGGAAGAUUAUAUUAAUAUGCAAGUCAUUUUAUCAAUAAAAUGUUGUCAUUGA